CUACGGGGCAUUUGUAAGACCUAUUUUUUAACUGACAUAGACUUACAGGUGGAGAAAUAAAUAAUAAAAAAUUAUGUUCAUAUUAAAUAUUAUUUUUAAAUCAUAUUAAAAUCAUUAAAAACAUUAAAAAAUGAAAAGAAAAAAAAAAUCUUAUCUCUCUUCUCCUACCCAGGCAACCCUCUUUCCCACCCGACUCAACCCCACCUCACAGCCACCCCUCUUCCAUUGCCUACCCAAAAACCCAACUCUCUUUCUCUUUCCUCCUCCCUCCCAACCCACCCCAACUUCUCCAGAAACAUGAAAUUGGGGCUUUUUGGUGUUCUGCAACCUUCAAAUUCGAAUUUGAUCAAUAAAUUGACAAAGUACAAAUGAGGUUUUGAAAUCGAUUUGAGUUUGGUGGGUUAUGGCGACUGGCCUGGUUUUUUAUUAUUUAGAUUUAGAAAUUAUUUUUUUUUGGGUAGGGGAAGAUGGGUUCAGUGAAGUUCACAGAGUUGGUUGGGUGUGUGGCGUGGGUUCCUGGAGGAGAGAUCCAAGAACAACACCUCAUCCGCCAUUGAGAACUUAGAUUUGAAUUGAUUGAUACAAAAACUUACAAAACUUAGCUCAAGUAUGGAGCUGUCGAUGUUGGUGGUGAUGGUGUGUGUCAUUGUGAAUAUUUAUAGACAAACAUUCAAAGCAGAAGCAAUCAGAGUAUGUCGUUGCAAAGCUCAUCCUUCUUCUCCUCAAAUUUAAACCCAUUUUUCAACAACAUUAGGAAAUACAAAUUGUCAAGAAAUUUGGAAAAGAAGAAUAUUGGUAAAGUACUGUGAUAGGUUGAUUUCCAAAUUUCCAAGACAAAAUUCCUCAAGAAACUAAUAAACCCAGAAACAAGAUUAAUUUUUGGAACAAAAUGACAAAGUUCAAACAAACAUAAACUUGAAAAAGAACAGGGCCCAAAAAGGCAGAUACUUCACCAAUAACAAACGAUGAAGAUACUUCCCCAAAUGUAUUGUUCUAGCUACAAGAACGCCAAAAACACAUAUAAUUCCUCAAAUGUAAACUCAUUUUGCAGAUCCUAAGAUUGUUCUAGCUCCGGCGAGAUCUGAAGAACGACGACGAGCUCGCAAGGUCUUGAAAACAUCCCCCAUGGCUUGUCGCGAAGACCCAACCACCUGGGUUUUACAGAUCGAAGAUUUCUAGGUCCAAGGGAGGGGAGAGAGAGAGAGAGAGACGACGGAUCUGGCAAGGAAGCAUUGAGGGGCUAGGUGUUUUGGCGGCGGUGUUGGGUCUGGUAUAGUAGUAAGACACUGAUUGAGUUUGGUGGGUUAUGGAGGUCAGGCGCAGGGGAAAUGGGAGAAGAUGAGUUUUUU
Molecule: long non-coding RNA, 1349 nt
Filed under: Prunus dulcis (almond)
Lineage: Eukaryota; Viridiplantae; Streptophyta; Magnoliopsida; Rosales; Rosaceae
Description: sRNA ncRNA
Source: RNAcentral